This 253-nucleotide ribosomal RNA is filed under the name uncultured bacterium. RNAcentral describes it as "partial 16S ribosomal RNA". It matches the Rfam family "Bacterial small subunit ribosomal RNA", at positions 524 to 776 of the family's 1533-position model. The record is from RNAcentral.
UACGGGGGGGGCAAGCGUUGUUCGGAAUUACUGGGCGUAAAGGGCUCGUAGGCGGUUUGUCGCGUCUGUCGUGAAAGCUUGGGGCUUAACCCCAAGUCUGCGGUGGAUACGGGCAGACUAGAGGCAGGUAGGGGAGAACGGAAUUCCCGGUGUAGCGGUGAAAUGCGUAGAUAUCAGGAGGAACACCGGUGGUGUAGACGGCUAUCUGGACCGUAACUGACGCUGAGACACGAAAGCGUGGGUAGCAAACAGG